CCAGGCCUUGACAUGUCCAGUAUGGGCUUCAGAGACGAAGUCCUUCAGUUUGGCUGGCUGGAACACAGGUGCUGCAUGGCUGUCGUCAACUCGUGUCGUGAGAUGUUGGGUUAAGUCCCGCAACGAGCGCAACCCUCGUCCUUAGUUGCCAUCAUUCAGUUGGGAACUCUAAGGAAACCGCCAGCGUUAAGCUGGAGGAAGGUGGGGAUGACGUCAAGUCCUCAUGGCCCUUACGGCCUGGGCUACACACGUGCUACAAUGGCGGUGACAGUGGGCUGCUACCUCGCAAGAGGGUGCGAAUCCCAAAAAACCGUCUCAGUUCGGAUUGUCCUCUGCAACUCGAGGGCAUGAAGUUGGAAUCGCUAGUAAUUGCAGAUCAGCACGCUGCGGUGAAUACGUUCCCGGGUCUUGUACACACGC
This 420-nucleotide ribosomal RNA is filed under the name uncultured Hyphomicrobiaceae bacterium. RNAcentral describes it as "bacterial SSU rRNA". It matches the Rfam family "Bacterial small subunit ribosomal RNA", at positions 974 to 1393 of the family's 1533-position model. The record is from RNAcentral. Lineage: Bacteria; Pseudomonadati; Pseudomonadota; Alphaproteobacteria; Hyphomicrobiales; Hyphomicrobiaceae.